CCUGCGGGCGGCUGCAGUGAGGAAUAUUGGUCAAUGGGCGCGAGCCUGAACCAGCCAAGUCGCGUGAAGGAUGACGGUCCUAUGGAUUGUAAACUUCUUUUGUGCAGGAAUAAAGUGAGGAACGUGUUCCUUUUUGUAUGUACUGUACGAAUAAGCAUCGGCUAACUCCGUGCCAGCAGCCGCGGUAAUACGGAGGAUGCGGGCGUUAUCCGGAUUUAUUGGGUUGAAGGGGUGCGUAGACGUGAGUGGUGAAAGUUUGCAGCUUAACUGUAAAAUUGCCAUUGAAACUGUUAGUCUUGAGUGCAAAUGAGGUAGGCGGAAUGUGUUGUGUAGCGGUGAAAUGCUUAGAUAUAACACAGAACUCCGAUUGCGAAGGCAGCUUACUGGGAUGCAACUGACGCUGAUGCACGAAAGCGUGGGUAUCAAACAGGAUUAGAUACCCUGGUAGUC
Molecule: ribosomal RNA, 450 nt
Filed under: uncultured bacterium
Lineage: Bacteria
Description: partial 16S ribosomal RNA
Rfam family: Bacterial small subunit ribosomal RNA
Source: RNAcentral